GCAAUUGCGGCAGCUACACAUGCAGUCGAGCGGAACGAGAAGUAGCUUGCUACUUCGGCGUCGAGCGGCGGACGGGUGAGUAAUGCAUAGGAAGUUGCCCAGUAGAGGGGGAUAACCAUUGGAAACGAUGGCUAAUACCGCAUAACCUCUUCGGAGCAAAGCGGGGGACCUUCGGGCCUCGCGCUACUGGAUACGCCUAUGUGGGAUUAGCUAGUUGGUGAGGUAAUGGCUCACCAAGGCGACGAUCCCUAGCUGGUCUGAGAGGAUGAUCAGCCACACUGGGACUGAGACACGGCCCAGACUCCUACGGGAGGCAGCAGUGGGGAAUAUUGCACAAUGGGCGAAAGCCUGAUGCAGCCAUGCCGCGUGUAUGAAGAAGGCCUUCGGGUUGUAAAGUACUUUCAGUUGUGAGGAAGGUUUCGUAGUUAAUAACUGCGUUGCUUGACGUUAGCAACAGAAGAAGCACCGGCUAACUCCGUGCCAGCAGCCGCGGUAAUACGGAGGGUGCGAGCGUUAAUCGGAAUUACUGGGCGUAAAGCGCAUGCAGGUGGUUUGUUAAGUCAGAUGUGAAAGCCCGGGGCUCAACCUCGGAAGGUCAUUUGAAACUGGCAAACUAGAGUACUGUAGAGGGGGGUAGAAUUUCAGGUGUAGCGGUGAAAUGCGUAGAGAUCUGAAGGAAUACCAGUGGCGAAGGCGGCCCCCUGGACAGAUACUGACACUCAGAUGCGAAAGCGUGGGGAGCAAACAGGAUUAGAUACCCUGGUAGUCCACGCCGUAAACGAUGUCUACUUGGAGGUUGUGGCCUUGAGCCGUGGCUUUCGGAGCUAACGCGUUAAGUAGACCGCCUGGGGAGUACGGUCGCAAGAUUAAAACUCAAAUGAAUUGACGGGGGCCCGCACAAGCGGUGGAGCAUGUGGUUUAAUUCGAUGCAACGCGAAGAACCUUACCUACUCUUGACAUCCAGAGAACUUUCCAGAGAUGGAUUGGUGCCUUCGGGAACUCUGAGACAGGUGCUGCAUGGCUGUCGUCAGCUCGUGUUGUGAAAUGUUGGGUUAAGUCCCGCAACGAGCGCAACCCUUAUCCUUGUUUGCCAGCGAGUAAUGUCGGGAACUCCAGGGAGACUG
This 1124-nucleotide ribosomal RNA is filed under the name Vibrio rumoiensis. RNAcentral describes it as "bacterial SSU rRNA". It matches the Rfam family "Bacterial small subunit ribosomal RNA", at positions 35 to 1151 of the family's 1533-position model. The record is from RNAcentral. Lineage: Bacteria; Pseudomonadati; Pseudomonadota; Gammaproteobacteria; Vibrionales; Vibrionaceae.